This 669-nucleotide ribosomal RNA is filed under the name uncultured Lachnospiraceae bacterium. Its description in RNAcentral is "bacterial SSU rRNA". It matches the Rfam family "Bacterial small subunit ribosomal RNA", at positions 65 to 737 of the family's 1533-position model. The record is from RNAcentral. Lineage: Bacteria; Bacillati; Bacillota; Clostridia; Lachnospirales; Lachnospiraceae.
AACACCUUAUUUGAUUUUCUUCGGAACUGAAGAUUUGGUGAUUGAGUGGCGGACGGGUGAGUAACGCGUGGGUAACCUACCUUGUACAGGGGGGUAACAGUCAGAAAUGACUGCUAAUACCGCAUAAGACCACAGCACCGCAUGGUGCAGGGGUAAAAACUCCGGUGGUACAGGAUGGACCCGCGUCUGAUUAGCUGGUUGGUGAGGUAACGGCUCACCAAGGCGACGAUCAGUAGCCGGCUUGAGAGAGUGAACGGCCACAUUGGGACUGAGACACGGCCCAAACUCCUACGGGAGGCAGCAGUGGGGAAUAUUGCACAAUGGGGGGAACCCUGAUGCAGCGACGCCGCGUGAGUGAAGAAGUAUCUCGGUAUGUAAAGCUCUAUCAGCAGGGAAGAAAAUGACGGUACCUGACUAAGAAGCCCCGGCUAACUACGUGCCAGCAGCCGCGGUAAUACGUAGGGGGCAAGCGUUAUCCGGAAUUACUGGGUGUAAAGGGUGCGUAGGUGGUAUGGCAAGUCAGAAGUGAAAACCCAGGGCUUAACUCUGGGACUGCUUUUGAAACUGUCAGACUGGAGUGCAGGAGAGGUAAGCGGAAUUCCUAGUGUAGCGGUGAAAUGCGUAGAUAUUAGGAGGAACAUCAGUGGCGAAGGCGGCUUACUGGACUGA